RNAcentral lists this ribosomal RNA (503 nucleotides) under uncultured bacterium. Its description in RNAcentral is "partial 16S ribosomal RNA". It matches the Rfam family "Bacterial small subunit ribosomal RNA", at positions 29 to 507 of the family's 1533-position model. The record is from RNAcentral.
AACGAACGCUGGCGGCGUGCCUAACACAUGCAAGUCGAACGAGAAAGGGGCUUCGGCUCCGAGUAAAGUGGCGCACGGGUGAGUAACACGUGGGUAACCUGCCUCUAAGAUUGGGAUAACUCGUCGAAAGAUGAGCUAAUACCGAAUAAGACCACAGUUCCCGCGGGAACAGGGGUCAAAGGUAGCCUCUGCUUGCAAGCUAUCACUUAGAGAUGGGCCUGCGCACCAUUAGCUAGUUGGUAGGGUAACGGCCUACCAAGGCAAAGAUGGUUAGCUGGUCUGAGAGGAUGAUCAGCCACACUGGAGCGGAGACACGGUCCAGACUCCUACGGGAGGCAGCAGUGGGGAAUAUUGCGCAAUGGGCGAAAGCUUGACGCAGCAACGCCGCGUGAGUGAUGAAGGCCUUCGGGUCGUAAAGCUCUGUCGGGAGGAACGAAUGCUCCUGAGGUUAACAGCCUCGGGAGGUGACGGUACCUUCAAAGGAAGCACCGGCUAACUCUGUG